UAAAGAAUGUGGUUUAUUGGGAUAGUGGAGCGAAACUGAAGGCAAAAUAAAUGUCAAGGUGUCUAAGAAGCACUGAGGGAGAUAAUCCAAGUAAGAGGAUUAGAGGAUUGGAGAAUCCCUUGUGAAAGACAUGUGGCCAGGUUGUGGGAAACUUGUACCAAAGAAAUAAUGAGAGAGGAAUAUUUGCACUGCUCUUUAUGGAUUUCUUAUUCGAGGGUAAUGGGCUGACCAUGUCCUUGGAAUUUCCACUUGCUCUCCUGGAAUCAUCACCGUGUCAGUCGUUUGUUGUAGGUGCCAGGCCCACUUCACAAUAGCGACUCCUUCCCACUCAGCCCGGCAGUGGCCUAGGUGACUCCCUCCCUCCUUUUCUUCUGCUUUGAGUCUGAUCGAAUAUAAUCCCCUCCCCUAUGUCCCUGCCUUUGGGAUCCUGUCCCUUCCCACUCCCUUUCUCAAACCCCAACCUUGGCUCUCCUCUUCUCUCUCCAGGAACACAUGUUCCUAAACACUACAGAGAGGAAGGUGUACGUAUGUGAAUGACAAACUCUGGAUUCUUCAGCAUUGAGGCCAAACCGUCCUGCAACUGGGGAAAUCAUCAGUAUUCAAGACAGCAGGCCUGUGUUCUACCUGUGCUUUAGGACAAUGCAUCUAUGUUUCCAAAGCAUCAAGAUCCCUAGAGUUACAUUCUUGGAUGGGCCAUGACAGCUGGGAAGGCCCUGCAAGUCCCCUUUCAUGCUUUGUUUGCAGCAUGGCAGGAGAGUGACUUGCAGAGGGAAUUUGUGCUCCAUGAAUGAAGAGGAGAAUCUAUUUCAGAAAGGUAUCACAAAGGCACGCACACACACAUGCACGCACGCACCACUGUCUGUGCAGCCACACACAUGUGCACACACAGUUUAAAACUGGUGAUUAAAGAC
This 911-nucleotide long non-coding RNA is filed under the name Fukomys damarensis (Damara mole-rat). Its description in RNAcentral is "lncRNA (ENSFDAG00000029353.1)". Lineage: Eukaryota; Metazoa; Chordata; Mammalia; Rodentia; Bathyergidae. The record is from RNAcentral.